This 492-nucleotide ribosomal RNA is filed under the name uncultured bacterium. Its description in RNAcentral is "partial 16S ribosomal RNA". It matches the Rfam family "Bacterial small subunit ribosomal RNA", at positions 30 to 507 of the family's 1533-position model. The record is from RNAcentral.
AUUGAACGCUGGCGGCAUGCUUUACACAUGCAAGUCGAACGGUAACAGGCCUUCGGGUGCUGACGAGUGGCGAACGGGUGCGUAAUGCAUCGGAACGUACCCAGAGGUUGGGGAUAACGCAGCGCAAGCUGUGCUAAUACCGCAUGUGAUCUGAGGUUGAAAGCGGGGGACCGAGCAGCAAUGUUUGGCCUCGCGCCUUUGUAGCUGCCGAUGUCGGAUUAGCUAGUUGGUGGGGUAAAGGCCUACCAAGGCGACGAUCCGUAGCUGGUCUGAGAGGACGACCGGCCACACUGGGACUGAGACACGGCCCAGACUCCUACGGGAGGCAGCAGUGGGGAAUUUUGGACAAUGGGCGCAAGCCUGAUCCAGCAAUGCCGCGUGCGGGAAGAAGGCCUUCGGGUUGUAAACCGCUUUUGGCAGGAACGAAACGGUGUCCGCUAAUACCGGGCGGUAAUGACGGUACCUGCAGAAUAAGCACCGGCUAACUACGUG